This 844-nucleotide ribosomal RNA is filed under the name uncultured bacterium. RNAcentral describes it as "bacterial SSU rRNA". It matches the Rfam family "Bacterial small subunit ribosomal RNA", at positions 26 to 898 of the family's 1533-position model. The record is from RNAcentral.
AGAAUCAACGCUGGCGGCGUGCCUAACACAUGCAAGUCGAACGAGAAAGUGGUAGCAAUACCAUGAGUAAAGUGGCGCACGGGUGAGUAACACGUGACUAACCUACCCUGGAGUGGGGGAUAACUGAGGGAAACCUUAGCUAAUACCGCAUAAUACCUACGGGUCAAAGGAGCAAUUCGCUUUGGGAGGGGGUCGCGGCCGAUUAGUUAGUUGGCGGGGUAAUGGCCCACCAAGACUAUGAUCGGUAUCCGGCCUGAGAGGGCGCACGGACACACUGGAACUGAAACACGGUCCAGACUCCUACGGGAGGCAGCAGUGGGGAAUUUUGCGCAAUGGGGGAAACCCUGACGCAGCAACGCCGCGUGGAGGAUGAAGUCCUUCGGGACGUAAACUCCUUUCGAUCGGGACGAUUAUGACGGUACCGGAAGAAGAAGCCCCGGCUAACUUCGUGCCAGCAGCCGCGGUAAUACGAGGGGGGCGAGCGUUGUUCGGAAUUAUUGGGCGUAAAGGGUGCGUAGGCGGUUUGGUAAGUCUUGUGUGAAAUCUACAGGCUCAACUUGUGGUCUGCACGAGAAACUGCCGGGCUUGAGUGUGGGAGAGGUGGAGUGGAAUUCCCGGUGUAGCGGUGAAAUGCGUUGAUAUCGGGAGGAACACCUGUGGCGAAAGCGGCUCACUGGACCACAACUGACGCUGAUGCACGAAAGCUAGGGGAGCAAACAGGAUUAGAUACCCUGGUAGUCCUAGCCCUAAACGAUGAUUGCUUGGUGUGACGGGUACCCAAUCCCGCCGUGCCGCAGCUAACGCCUUAAGCAAUCCGCCUGGGGAGUACGGUCGCAAGGUUGAA